CGUUAGCGGCGGACGGGUGAGUAACACGUGGGCAACCUGCCUGUAAGACUGGGAUAACUCCGGGAAACCGGAGCUAAUACCGGAUAACAUUUUCUCUUGCAUAAGACAAAAUUGAAAGAUGGUUUCGGCUAUCACUUACAGAUGGGCCCGCGGUGCAUUAGCUAGUUGGUGAGGUAACGGCUCACCAAGGCAACGAUGCAUAGCCGACCUGAGAGGGUGAUCGGCCACACUGGGACUGAGACACGGCCCACACUCCUACGGGAGGCAGCAGUAGGGAAUCUUCCGCAAUGGACGAAAGUCUGACGGAGCAACGCCGCGUGAGUGAUGAAGGCUUUCGGGUCGUAAAACUCUGUUGUUAGGGAAGAACAAGUACAAGAGUAACUGCUUGUACCUUGACGGUACCUAACCAGAAAGCCACGGCUAACUACGUGCCAGCAGCCGCGGUAAUACGUAGGUGGCAAGCGUUAUCCGGAAUUAUUGGGCGUAAAGCGCGCGCAGGCGGUUUCUUAAGUCUGAUGUGAAAGCCCACGGCUCAACCGUGGAGGGUCAUUGGAAACUGGGGAACUUGAGUGCAGAAGAGAAAAGCGGAAUUCCACGUGUAGCGGUGAAAUGCGUAGAGAUGUGGAGGAACACCAGUGGCGAAGGCGGCUUUUUGGUCUGUAACUGACGCUGA
RNAcentral lists this ribosomal RNA (673 nucleotides) under Priestia flexa. RNAcentral's name for it is "bacterial SSU rRNA". It matches the Rfam family "Bacterial small subunit ribosomal RNA", at positions 90 to 749 of the family's 1533-position model. The record is from RNAcentral. Lineage: Bacteria; Bacillati; Bacillota; Bacilli; Caryophanales; Bacillaceae.